RNAcentral lists this ribosomal RNA (958 nucleotides) under bacterium NTN10. RNAcentral's name for it is "bacterial SSU rRNA". It matches the Rfam family "Bacterial small subunit ribosomal RNA". The record is from RNAcentral.
GGUGAGCGUUCCUAACGUAAUGGCCGGCGGACGGGUGAGUAACACGUGGGUAACCUGCCUGUAAGACUGGGAUAACUCCGGGAAACCGGGGCUAAUACCGGAUGGUUGUUUGAACCGCAUGGUUCAAACAUAAAAGGUGGCUUCGGCUACCACUUACAGAUGGACCCGCGGCGCAUUAGCUAGUUGGUGAGGUAACGGCUCACCAAGGCAACGAUGCGUAGCCGACCUGAGAGGGUGAUCGGCCACACUGGGACUGAGACACGGCCCAGACUCCUACGGGAGGCAGCAGUAGGGAAUCUUCCGCAAUGGACGAAAGUCUGACGGAGCAACGCCGCGUGAGUGAUGAAGGUUUUCGGAUCGUAAAGCUCUGUUGUUAGGGAAGAACAAGUACCGUUCGAAUAGGGCGGUACCUUGACGGUACCUAACCAGAAAGCCACGGCUAACUACGUGCCAGCAGCCGCGGUAAUACGUAGGUGGCAAGCGUUGUCCGGAAUUAUUGGGCGUAAAGGGCUCGCAGGCGGUUUCUUAAGUCUGAUGUGAAAAGCCCCCGGCUCAACCGGGGAGGGUCAUUGGAAACUGGGGAACUUGAGUGCAGAAGAGGAGAGUGGAAUUCCACGUGUAGCGGUGAAAUGCGUAGAGAUGUGGAGGAACACCAGUGGCGAAGGCGACUCUCUGGUCUGUACUGACGCUUGAGGAGCGAAAGCGGUGGGAAGCGAACAGGAUUNAUACCCUGUNUCACGCCGUAAAAAUAUUCUUAAGUGUUUGGGGGUUUCCCCCCCUUUUUCUCACUUAACCCCUUUAACACUCCCCCGUGGGAUUUGGCCAAAAUAAACCAAAGAAUACGGGGCCCCAACACGGGUGCAUUUUUAUUUAACACCAACACUACAGUUUACCCCUUCACACUAAAAGCAUCCUUGCGGGAGUGGGUGUGUGUGUCUCUUUUAUUUAUAUACCAACC